This 477-nucleotide ribosomal RNA is filed under the name Candidatus Scalindua brodae. Its description in RNAcentral is "bacterial SSU rRNA". It matches the Rfam family "Bacterial small subunit ribosomal RNA", at positions 365 to 832 of the family's 1533-position model. The record is from RNAcentral. Lineage: Bacteria; Pseudomonadati; Planctomycetota; Candidatus Brocadiia; Candidatus Brocadiales; Candidatus Scalinduaceae.
UUCGCAAUGCCCGAAAGGGUGACGAAGCGACGCCGCGUGGGUGAGGAAGGCCCUCGGGUUGUAAAGCCCUGUCAGGAGUUAAGAAAUGUAAGUGCGCUAAUAUCGCAUUUAUUUGACGAAGGCUCCAAAGGAAGUCACGGCUAACUCUGUGCCAGCAGCCGCGGUAAUACAGAGGUGGCAAGCGUUGUUCGGAAUUAUUGGGCGUAAAGAGCACGUAGGUGGGUUUGUAAGUCAGAUGUGAAAGCCUUCUGUUCAACGGAAGAAUUGCAUCUGAAACUGCGAGUCUUGAGUGUAGGAGGGGAGGAUGGAACUUCUGGUGGAGCGGUGAAAUGCGUAGAUAUCAGAAGGAACGCCGGCGGCGAAAGCGAUUCUCUGGCCUAUUACUGACACUGAGUGUGCGAAAGCUAGGGGAGCAAACGGGAUUAGAUACCCCGGUAGUCCUAGCCGUAAACGAUGGGCACUAAGUAGAGGGGUUUU